Long non-coding RNA from Carassius gibelio (silver crucian carp), 647 nucleotides. RefSeq lists it as uncharacterized. The transcript is spliced from 5 exons. Lineage: Eukaryota; Metazoa; Chordata; Actinopteri; Cypriniformes; Cyprinidae. The record is from RefSeq and is a predicted model, not a curated record.
AGGGCUCACAAAGACUCUGAGGUAGCGCUGGAUGCUCAGAAGUAUGUGGCCUUUGUCCAAGUGCUUUCCAAACAUGGCAAGCUGGAAGAGGCGAUCGAUAUGCUGAAGGAAAUGAAGGAGAAGGAUGUGCAGUUAAGGGACAGCACAAUCAGUUUGCUCACCCUCACGAUGAAUACCGCUGCGAUGAAAGGAGAUGCCAACACUAUAUGGCGUCUCCAGGAGACAAUCUUCACUUUGGGUCUGGCCAAACCAUCCAGUAACCCAUGCUCACCCCUCAUUACUUGCUAUCUGGAGAGUCAUGGAGUUUUUGAGUCAGGAGCGAGGUGAGAUGAUGAUGCUCUACGACCUUUACUUUGCGUUCCCGCAAACGGGCCGCUACAAGGAGGCACGCUAAAUCAUUGAGAUGGAGCCCCUUGAGAACAUGGUGGACACGACUGUCAAGCUGUUUGAGUGUGUCAGAGAUGACAUGUACCACUAUUUGUUACGCCUCUGCAAGGAGACCAAUGACUGGCAAAAGGCUGAGGCAACUUGAAUGAAAAUGCAAGAGGACAAUUUGGCUCCAAGAUAGAAGACCCUGCGUUUGCUUGCUGAUAUCCUGAAAAACAAUGACACAAAGAGGUGCCUUUUGAGGUGCCUGAAGUAAAAGA